This 253-nucleotide ribosomal RNA is filed under the name uncultured bacterium. RNAcentral describes it as "partial 16S ribosomal RNA". It matches the Rfam family "Bacterial small subunit ribosomal RNA", at positions 524 to 776 of the family's 1533-position model. The record is from RNAcentral.
UACGAAGGGGGCUAGCGUUGUUCGGAAUUACUGGGCGUAAAGCGUGCGCAGGCGGCUGCUCAAGUCAGGGGUGAAAGCCCAGAGCUCAACUCUGGAAUUGCCUUUGAGACUGAGUGGCUUGAGUACGGGAGAGGUGAGUGGAAUUCCCAGUGUAGAGGUGAAAUUCGUAGAUAUUGGGAGGAACACCAGUGGCGAAGGCGGCGACCUGGACGGACAUUGACGCUGAGACGCGAAAGCGUGGGGAGCAAACAGG